This is a non-coding RNA of Podarcis lilfordi (Lilford's wall lizard), 72 nucleotides long. The record is from the annotation of a GenBank genome assembly. NCBI's taxonomy places the organism in Eukaryota, Metazoa, Chordata, Lepidosauria, Squamata, Lacertidae.
AGGGAUGUAGUUCAGUGAUAGAACAUCUGCUUUGAACACAGAAGAUCCCAUGUUCAAUCUCUGACAUCUCCA